UACGAAGGGGGCUAGCGUUGCUCGGAAUCACUGGGCGUAAAGGGUGCGUAGGCGGGUCUUUAAGUCAGGGGUGAAAUCCUGGAGCUCAACUCCAGAACUGCCUUUGAUACUGAAGAUCUUGAGUUCGGGAGAGGUGAGUGGAACUGCGAGUGUAGAGGUGAAAUUCGUAGAUAUUCGCAAGAACACCAGUGGCGAAGGCGGCUCGCUGGCCCGAUACUGACGCUGAGACACGAAAGCGUGGGGAGCAAACAGG
This 253-nucleotide ribosomal RNA is filed under the name uncultured bacterium. RNAcentral describes it as "partial 16S ribosomal RNA". It matches the Rfam family "Bacterial small subunit ribosomal RNA", at positions 524 to 776 of the family's 1533-position model. The record is from RNAcentral.